Apodemus sylvaticus (European woodmouse) is the source of this 702-nucleotide long non-coding RNA. RefSeq lists it as uncharacterized. The record is from RefSeq and is a predicted model, not a curated record. NCBI's taxonomy places the organism in Eukaryota, Metazoa, Chordata, Mammalia, Rodentia, Muridae. The transcript is spliced from 4 exons.
AGCCAAUCAGGGGCCACGCAUAGUUGAGGCUUAGGCGCAGGCUGUAAGCCCGGUUUCCGGCUUAGGAUCAGGGUCUGGUGAAGGGGCUGGAGGCGCCAUGUCGGGCCGGGAAGGUGGCAAGAAGAAGCCCCUGAAACAGCCCAAGAAGCAGGCCAAGGAGAUGGACGAGGAAGAUAAGGCUUUCAAGCAGAAACAGAAGGAGGAACAGAAGAAACUCGAGGAGCUAAAAGCCAAGGCCGCGGGGAAAGGCCCCCUGGCCACAGGUGGAAUUAAGAAAUCUGGCAAAAAGUAAGCUGUUCCUCACAUCUGAGGUGAUGGUGACCCUCCUCUUCCAUUCCUAUUUAAACAUCUGGAUUCCCUGCCAUAAAUAACAUCUUUGCCACUACAGCUAAAAUGAAGUGUUAUCCUGUAAUCUGUCCAACAUCUGGAUCCCCUGUCAUAACAUCUUUGCCACCUAAUAGCUAGAAUGAAGUGCUAUCCUGGAGCCUGUUGUUGUACAUUGUAAUAAACUUUUGUAUAAAAAAACAAAACAAUGAAUAAAGUGAAUGAAUAAUGCAGUAGCUUGUCUCUAGUAUUCAGCAAUUCCUACCUCAGCUGUGAAUUGAAAGUGAACUGAGUCUGGAAUCCCACCAGAGCCUACUGUUCCAUCUUCAUUGUACUCUGAAUUCUGUACCACUUUGAAUUAAACCAACGCAUUUAAAA